UUAGUUUUAAAUUAAAUUAGCCAAAACUAGUAAAACCAGCGGUGUGCUAACCUGAUGACGCGCAGUGUAUACAUAAAUAUCUUUAAACCCCGAAAUCGCGGGAUGCUAUUCUCAAUCGCAGCCUAUUUAUGUAUUUCCUGCACGAUUCCGAUUACUUUGGCGGCGGGGUAAAAAAACCGAAUUUCCGUAUAAAUGGGGUAUGUACGGAUAGGGGGGCUUCUAUAGAGGUGGAAUAUCCAAAAAUCAUGUGAAAAUAGCUAAUAUUUUUAAAAAUAUUCACGUUUAAAAAAUCAAAAAUUCGCACUAAGAACACAUGUUAUUUCUCCAUGUUUCACAGAAUUUUUCACGUUUUUCUUUCACUAUAAUUAAAUAUACACUCUUAACAUUGAAAUCAGUUCGAUUUUCACUUUCAUUUCUUAAUUUUUCAGCCAAAUUUAGUAAUUUAAAAUCACAUAUAAAAUUUAUGGCUGAAAAGUUUAGAGUGUUUAUAUUUACGAGGAAAACCAGCGUUGCCACACCUUAAAAACCAAAAGUGAAGAAUUUUUUAGCGUUUCACAGCGUUUUUAUAUCGAUAUUCGCAAUAUACGAAUCUGAUAGUGAAUUGGCAAAAAUGAGAAAUACAUAAUAGGAAAAUUUAUAAUUAAUUAUUAUUGCAGAAAGAAGAAGAAUUUGGACACAGAAGAAUUUUGAACACCGGGGUUUUGGACCGACCAGGGAUAUUAUUUUUCGAGCGCUCGAAUAUUACGAAUAUCGAUAUUUUUAUUUCUUUUUAUUUUUCCAAUUAUUAUUAUUUUUAUAAUAUGUAACUAUUUCUCAUUUUUAAAAAUUUUCUUUCUGACUCGAAUAUUGAGAAUAUCGAUAUUUUAAUUUCUUUUUAUUUUUCCAAUUAAUAACAUAAAAUUAAAUAACGCGUCAUACACAUUCGUGAAUCGGAAUUAAAAACGAAUUUUUUAAGACAAUUCCCGUGAAAAUUGGUGCACGUUUUCGGAAAAGCCGUUCUGCUGAACAUUUACCGUAUAUAAUAUUGCUUAUUUGCUUAAUAAAUUUAUACAAGAAAAUAUCCAUAUGCAUGAAUAGAGGAAUUUUGCGAAAAAAGAGGAAUUUCACGAAUUGCCUUAUCAUCACAUGGCAGCGCUCCAUUUCGUCGUAAUUUUUGGUAAACAUAUGAGGUUCAAACAAGCGUAAAAUGUAAUUUUUAAAAUAAAGAUUUUUUAGGUAAAAACCUGUUAAAUGUGUAAAAUGUGGUUUUAUUUAAAAGUUAAUAGUGUAAAUUAAUUAAUUUGAAGUGAAAAAUGUGAAAAAAGUGCGUUUAAUGUGGUGAAAUAGCGUCUUGAAAUGGUCCAAUUUUGCGAUUUUUCGGACUUUAAGGUCGAAUAUCUCGUAAACUAAGCGUUUGCGGACCCUAUAACCCUAUAUAUUUUUUAAUCAGGAGGACUUCCUCUUUCCAACGGUACCUUCAGAUCGCGGCGCCAAAGUAAUCGGAAUUGUGCCAAA
Long non-coding RNA from Bactrocera dorsalis (oriental fruit fly), 1494 nucleotides. RefSeq lists it as uncharacterized. The record is from RefSeq and is a predicted model, not a curated record. The transcript is spliced from 2 exons. NCBI's taxonomy places the organism in Eukaryota, Metazoa, Arthropoda, Insecta, Diptera, Tephritidae.